UACAGAGGGGGCAAGCGUUGUUCGGAAUUACUGGGCGUAAAGGGCGCGUAGGCGGCCUUCUAAGUCGAACGUGAAAUCCCCAGGCUCAACCUGGGAACUGCGUCCGAUACUGGCAGGCUUGAAUCCGGGAGAGGGAUGUGGAAUUCCAGGUGUAGCGGUGAAAUGCGUAGAUAUCUGGAGGAACACCGGUGGCGAAGGCGGCAUCCUGGACCGGUAUUGACGCUGAGGCGCGAAAGCUAGGGGAGCAAACGGG
This 253-nucleotide ribosomal RNA is filed under the name uncultured bacterium. Its description in RNAcentral is "partial 16S ribosomal RNA". It matches the Rfam family "Bacterial small subunit ribosomal RNA", at positions 524 to 776 of the family's 1533-position model. The record is from RNAcentral.